RNAcentral lists this non-coding RNA (24 nucleotides) under Arabidopsis thaliana (thale cress). The record is from RNAcentral. Lineage: Eukaryota; Viridiplantae; Streptophyta; Magnoliopsida; Brassicales; Brassicaceae.
CCUGUUGCCAAAGGGCCUAGCAGC